UACGUAGGGGGCAAGCGUUGUCCGGAAUCAUUGGGCGUAAAGCGCGUGUAGGCGGUUCGAUAAGUCCGCUGUGAAAACUCGAGGCUCAACUUCGAGCUGUCGGUGGAAACUUUCUGGCUAGAGUCCGGAAGAGGAGAAUGGAAUUCCUGGUGUAGCGGUGAAAUGCGCAGAUAUCAGGAAGAACACCCGUGGCGAAGGCGGUUCUCUGGGACGGUACUGACGCUGAGACGCGAAAGCGUGGGGAGCGAACAGG
Molecule: ribosomal RNA, 253 nt
Filed under: uncultured bacterium
Lineage: Bacteria
Description: partial 16S ribosomal RNA
Rfam family: Bacterial small subunit ribosomal RNA
Source: RNAcentral